GAUGAACGCUGGCGGCGUGCCUAAUACAUGCAAGUCGAGCGAACAGACGAGGAGCUUGCUCCUCUGACGUUAGCGGCGGACGGGUGAGUAACACGUGGAUAACCUACCUAUAAGACUGGGAUAACUUCGGGAAACCGGAGCUAAUACCGGAUAAUAUAUUGAACCGCAUGGUUCAAUAGUGAAAGACGGUUUUGCUGCCACUUAUAGAUGGAUCCGCGCCGCAUUAGCUAGUUGGUAAGGUAACGGCUUACCAAGGCAACGAUGCGUAGCCGACCUGAGAGGGUGAUCGGCCACACUGGAACUGAGACACGGUCCAGACUCCUACGGGAGGCAGCAGUAGGGAAUCUUCCGCAAUGGGCGAAAGCCUGACGGAGCAACGCCGCGUGAGUGAUGAAGGUCUUCGGAUCGUAAAACUCUGUUAUUAGGGAAGAGCAAAUGUGUAAGUAACUAUGCACGUCUUGACGGUACCUAAUCAGAAAGCCACGGCUAACUACGUG
This 497-nucleotide ribosomal RNA is filed under the name uncultured bacterium. RNAcentral's name for it is "partial 16S ribosomal RNA". It matches the Rfam family "Bacterial small subunit ribosomal RNA", at positions 28 to 507 of the family's 1533-position model. The record is from RNAcentral.